GUCUACAGCCCUACCACCCUGAAUGUGCCGGAUCUCAUCUGAUCUCAGAAGCUAAGCAGGGUCAGGCCUGGUUAGUACUUUGAUGGGAGAGAAGCAAUGUAACUGAGGGCU
Bos indicus x Bos taurus (hybrid cattle) is the source of this 111-nucleotide ribosomal RNA. The record is from Ensembl. Lineage: Eukaryota; Metazoa; Chordata; Mammalia; Artiodactyla; Bovidae.